RNAcentral lists this transfer RNA (93 nucleotides) under Serratia marcescens. RNAcentral describes it as "tRNA-Ser". It matches the Rfam family "tRNA". From Rfam's summary of the family: Transfer RNA (tRNA) molecules are approximately 80 nucleotides in length. Their secondary structure includes four short double-helical elements and three loops (D, anti-codon, and T loops). Further hydrogen bonds mediate the characteristic L-shaped molecular structure. tRNAs have two regions of fundamental functional importance: the anti-codon, which is responsible for specific mRNA codon recognition, and the 3' end, to which the tRNAs corresponding amino acid is attached (by aminoacyl-tRNA synthetases). tRNAs cope with the degeneracy of the genetic code in two manners: having more than one tRNA (with a specific anti-codon) for a particular amino acid; and 'wobble' base-pairing, i.e. permitting non-standard base-pairing at the 3rd anti-codon position. The record is from RNAcentral. Lineage: Bacteria; Pseudomonadati; Pseudomonadota; Gammaproteobacteria; Enterobacterales; Yersiniaceae.
GGAAGUGUGGCAGAGUUAGGCUUAAUGUGUGGGAUUGCUAAUCCUAUAUACUCUUUUAGGGUAUCGAGGGUUCGAAUCCCUCCACUUCCGCCA